UACAGAGGUCUCAAGCGUUGUUCGGAUUCAUUGGGCGUAAAGGGUGCGUAGGCGGCGCGGUAAGUCGGGUGUGAAAUCUUGGAGCUUAACUCCGAAACUGCAUUCGAUACUGCCGUGCUUGAGGACUGGAGAGGAGACUGGAAUUUACGGUGUAGCGGUGAAAUGCGUAGAUAUCGUAAGGAAGACCUGUGGCGAAGGCGGGUCUCUGGACAGUUCCUGACGCUGAGGCACGAAGGCCAGGGGAGCAAACGGG
RNAcentral lists this ribosomal RNA (253 nucleotides) under uncultured bacterium. Its description in RNAcentral is "partial 16S ribosomal RNA". It matches the Rfam family "Bacterial small subunit ribosomal RNA", at positions 524 to 776 of the family's 1533-position model. The record is from RNAcentral.